AGAUGUGAGGUUGAAUAGACUAUGACAUCUGUUGCCCCAUGGAUAUCCAGGGUUGAAUUCUGAUAUGGCAGGCUAGGCUGGUGUUUCCCUUCUCCCCCCUUUUCUUCCCUAAACCAGCCCAUGUGUGACACUCUGGCAGUUGCUCAGUUGGUAGAAGAAGACUACCAUCUAAAUAGAAGAGGAAUGUUCUCUGGCCAAGGGUGUAGGAACAGCUGUGCUACUUAGCUCGACCCUUGGAACAGGCUAGAGACAAGCAGAUUUUUUUUUAUUUGUUUAUUUGUUCAUUUUGUUUGCUUUCAAU
This 301-nucleotide small nuclear RNA is filed under the name Nannospalax galili (Upper Galilee mountains blind mole rat). RNAcentral's name for it is "7SK RNA (ENSNGAG00000003275.1)". It matches the Rfam family "7SK RNA". Rfam says of the family: 7SK was discovered as an abundant small nuclear RNA in the mid-70s but a possible function has only recently been suggested. Lineage: Eukaryota; Metazoa; Chordata; Mammalia; Rodentia; Spalacidae. The record is from RNAcentral.